Herpailurus yagouaroundi (jaguarundi) is the source of this 669-nucleotide long non-coding RNA. RefSeq lists it as uncharacterized. Lineage: Eukaryota; Metazoa; Chordata; Mammalia; Carnivora; Felidae. The record is from RefSeq and is a predicted model, not a curated record. The transcript is spliced from 3 exons.
GAAAGAGGGGGAUCUUAAAGCUUGGCAUGGGAGGCAAUCCCACCAGGCCGCUCAAUCCCCAAAGCGGGUUGCCAACAGCAGCCCUUCCCGUUUAGUCUCGUCCCACCCACGUAAGAGUGGACCACGCCCCCUUAGCUGUAGCCCCGCCUCUCUAGACUGUUUUGGUUAUGGAGUCAGCCCAGCUCCCCAUCAGGCCGAUUCUGUCUACAUCUGAGAUGGCCCCGCCCUUCAGGAUCCGUUUGAAUGAGGAGCAGCUGGGACCAGCCGGCUGGGUGGGACGACCGCAAUGGCCCAAGCGAAAUCUAGACCUGGAUUUUUCGGCCACGGAGGCCAGGAUUCCAGAUCCGGGUACACUCGGCCUUCGAGGCAUCCUCCAGACACCUGGGAAGUCCCUCCUAUCACCUAACUCCGAUUUUUCCUGCUGCAGUGACGGAUCAGCUUAUCUUGGUCUCCAACUUCAGGGAUGGUAGGUUAGAGGAGUCCAGAAGUAGACCCUGGAUGAGGGUUUGAAUCCUCCCCUUCUUUGUCCAAGCUCCAGGCUAGGAUGUAGCCUGAGUCUGGAGCCACCUAGGCUUUAUCUAAACUCCUCCAGAUUAUGUAGCGUGGGUCUGGGCUCCAAGGAGGAUCAGAAGGACCAGACCCCAGGCAGGCUUUGAGAUGAAGCUUUGA